Molecule: non-coding RNA, 61 nt
Organism: Camponotus floridanus (Florida carpenter ant)
Lineage: Eukaryota; Metazoa; Arthropoda; Insecta; Hymenoptera; Formicidae
Source: Rfam
UCAGUGGUAAGAGCAGUCGCCCGACAAGCGAAAGACUCGGGUUCGAUUCCCGAUUCAGCGA